This 271-nucleotide ribosomal RNA is filed under the name uncultured archaeon. RNAcentral's name for it is "partial 16S ribosomal RNA". It matches the Rfam family "Archaeal small subunit ribosomal RNA", at positions 477 to 747 of the family's 1478-position model. The record is from RNAcentral.
CAGCGCCACAAGUGGCAAUCGUAUUUAUUUGGCCUAAAGCGUCCGUAGCUGGUUAAGUAAAUCUCUUGUGAAAUUGUUUGGCUUAACCAAACAGCGUGCAGGAGAGACUGCUUAGCUAGGGACCGGGAGGAGUCAGAGGUAUGCUGGGGGGAGCGGUAAAAUGCAAUAAUCCUCGGUAGACCACCUGUGGCGAAGGCGUCUGACUAGAACGGGUCCGACAGUGAGGGACGAAAGCCAGGGGAGCAAACCGGAUUAGAUACCCGCGUAGUCC